This 1059-nucleotide unclassified non-coding RNA is filed under the name Hevea brasiliensis (rubber tree). Lineage: Eukaryota; Viridiplantae; Streptophyta; Magnoliopsida; Malpighiales; Euphorbiaceae. The record is from RNAcentral.
GGGAUCUCUUAUCCAAGUUAAAUUGUUAGUGACCUGUUUGUUUCAAACACAUUGAAGCUCCGUUCAGCUCGGCACUCACUUCCAAUCUUUCAUCAGCUCUCAGUACACUAUAGCCAAACACGAACCUCGUUUUCUAGACCAGAGAGGAGACCAUGUUUCAAUUCUCCCUCCCUGAAGAGGGUCUUCGUUCCUCUGGGGUACACAUCGCCGUACUAUAAAGAACCAAAAGCCCUAUACUUGCCGGACGCCUGUUUCCGUCGUUUCGCCGGCCGAUCGGUGGUCCCGGACUACUUCAUUUUUAAUGAUGGACAUUGAAAGCAGUGAAGAGUUGAAUGAACACUCUCAAAUGCUUCCACCUCCACCUGGAACAUUUGUAGAUCGUGAAGAACUUAUACAACAUGUCGGAGACUUUGCUGUAUCUCAAGGAUAUGUAGUAACUAUUAAGCAAUCUAAGAGAGACAGAGUAGUGAUCCUUGGAUGUGACAGAGGAGGUGUUUAUCGUAAUAGGCGGAAGACUAUUGAUGAAUCCACUGCAGAACACAGCCGCAAAAGAAAAACUGGUUCUCGGCUUACCAACUGUCCAUUUGAAGUUGUGGGUAAGAAGGAUGAUGGAUUGUGGGUACUUACGGUAAAAAAUGGAACUCACAAUCAUGAGCCUCUGAAGGACAUUUCAGAACAUCCUUCUGCCCGUCGCUUCUCAGAGACUGAAGUUCAGUUAAUUAAAGAGUUGACUGAAGCUGGACUAAAACCUCGCCAAAUCCCGAAGAGAUUGAGACAAAGCAACCCAGAUCUUCUGUCCACUCCAAAGCACGUGUACAAUGUUAAGGCGAAACUCCGACAAGGAAAUAUGACAGUAAGACAAUUCAGGUCUUUGCGGCCUGAGAAAUCUGCUGUUAGGAAAAAUUAUCUAUCGGUUACAGAGCCAUCCUGGAGGCAGUGCUACCCCACUAGGGUUCCCAAUCUCAUUGGAGGUAAAUUUGUUGAUUCACAAUCCUUUGCAUCUAUCGAUGUUAUAAAUCCCGCAACCCAACAACUUGUUUCUCAAGUUCCUUUGACUAC